CCUACGGGAGGCAGCAGUAAGGAAUCUUCCGCAAUGGGCGAAAGCCUGACGGAGCAACGCCGCGUGGGCGAUGAAGGCCUUCGGGUCGUAAAGCCCUUUUCUGUGGGACGAUAAUGACGGUACCACAGGAAUAAGCCACGGCUAACUACGUGCCAGCAGCCGCGGUAAUACGUAGGUGGCUAGCGUUAUCCGGAUUCACUGGGCGUAAAGAGCGCGUAGGCGGUGUGCUAAGUUGGACGUGAAAGCCCCCGGCUUAACCGGGGGAGGUCGUCCAAGACUGGUGCACUUGAGGGUGGACGGGGAAAGCGGAAUUCCCGGUGUAGUGGUGAAAUGCGUAGAUAUCGGGAGGAACACCAGCGGCGAAGGCGACCCUCUGGACGGAUACUGACGCUAAUACGCGAAGGCGGGGGGAGCAAACAGGAUUAGAUCCCCUGGUAGU
Molecule: ribosomal RNA, 439 nt
Filed under: uncultured bacterium
Lineage: Bacteria
Description: partial 16S ribosomal RNA
Rfam family: Bacterial small subunit ribosomal RNA
Source: RNAcentral